GUAGGUGGCAAGCGUUGUCCGGAAUUAUUGGGCGUAAAGCGCGCGCAGGCGGUCCUUUAAGUCUGAUGUGAAAGCCCACGGCUCAACCGUGGAGGGUCAUUGGAAGCUGGGGGACUUGAGUACAGAAGAGGAAAGCGGAAUUCCAAGUGUAGCGGUGAAAUGCGUAGAGAUUUGGAGGAACACCAGUGGCGAAGGCGGCUUUCUGGUCUGUAACUGACGCUGAGGCGCGAAAGCGUGGGGAGCAAACAGGAUUAGAUACCCUGGUAGUCCACGCCGUAAACGAUGAGUGCUAAGUGUUAGGGGGUUUCCGCCCCCCUUAGUGCUGCAGCUAACGCAUUAAGCACUCCGCCUGGGAGUACGGCCGCAAGGCUG
Molecule: ribosomal RNA, 372 nt
Filed under: uncultured organism
Description: partial 16S ribosomal RNA
Rfam family: Bacterial small subunit ribosomal RNA
Source: RNAcentral